Molecule: ribosomal RNA, 449 nt
Filed under: uncultured bacterium
Lineage: Bacteria
Description: partial 16S ribosomal RNA
Rfam family: Bacterial small subunit ribosomal RNA
Source: RNAcentral
UUUCCAGACUCCUACGGGAGGCAGCAGUGGGGGAUAUUGCACAAUGGGGGAAACCCUGAUGCAGCGACGCCGCGUGGGUGAAGAAGCGCCUCGGCGCGUAAAGCCCUGUCAGCAGGGAAGAAAAUGACGGUACCUGAAGAAGAAGCCCCGGCUAACUACGUGCCAGCAGCCGCGGUAAUACGUAGGGGGCAAGCGUUAUCCGGAAUCACUGGGUGUAAAGGGAGCGUAGACGGCUGUGCAAGCCUGAAGUGAAAGGCGGGGGCCCAACCCCUGGACUGCUUUGGGAACUGUACGGCUGGAGUGCAGGAGAGGUAAGUGGAAUUCCUAGUGUAGCGGUGAAAUGCGUAGAUAUUAGGAGGAACACCAGUGGCGAAGGCGGCCUGCUGGACGAUGACUGACGUUGAGGCUCGAAAGCGUGGGGAGCAAACAGGAUUAGAUACCCCCGUAGG